Molecule: long non-coding RNA, 937 nt
Organism: Meriones unguiculatus (Mongolian gerbil)
Lineage: Eukaryota; Metazoa; Chordata; Mammalia; Rodentia; Muridae
Exons: 3
Source: RefSeq, a predicted model, not a curated record
CUGGCAGCCAAACUUGGUCAUGUGUAAGAGUCACCCAGGUAGUACCCAGGGGUUGAAGGCAUAAAGGGGUCAUGGAGAGCAGCUGAGGCUUGGCACCGUGAGAGGCCAGGAGAGGCCCUUGGCGGCGGCGCAGCCAGAGUAGCGGUGGAAGCCUCAGGAUUGGAGGAGUCAUGGAGAAAAGUUGAGGCCUUGCACCAUAGAGAGACCUCAGGAGGACUAACGGGGCAAGUGCAGCCCAGUUGCAGUAGGGAAGACCCCAGUGUUUUGGAGAAGCCAGAACCAUGGACUGACCACCAAGGAUGGCAGCAAGCGCAGAGCGGAGCUGUCCUGAGCUUAGGAGACAAGCUGUGUGUGCUGCAGAGGGCAGAGCUGGAGAAAGGACCCCAGUGAUUUGAAGGAACCCAGAAGAUGAGCUUAUUUUCAUAGAAAAAGCAGAGGAGCAUGAAUGAGUAUCUCCCGUGAAGGCCUCUGUUCCAGUCCGUGGUCACAGAUAGACCGUGAGCAGCCAGCUGAAAUUACAGUCAUGAUUACAAGUAGGAGGAUUCCGUAUGCGCAAACUCUACCAUCCAAACCUGCAGACGAUGGCAGACAAUCAUCUUGGAGGAACGAGAGGUGCCAGGAGCUCACAGGGUCAGGAGCCCUGCCCUGCACCCUUUAAAGACAGAAUGUUACCUGGUGCUGGAAAGAAAGAAAUGAAGAAGAAAAUGGUUCCCAUCCGUGUGCUGUUCGCAGUCUGUCGGGCAAGCCCACAUUUGCAAGCCCAGGGGAAAAAGGUUCCGGAAGUUCCAGGAACAAAUCGGGUAGAUCUGACCUCAUCUGGAAGCUGGAGGGAUCCAUUCUCAGCUGGAAUUUGGAAGGCUCUGCUCCCUUCAGCUAGCCUCUCCACAUUGGCAGGCUCCAGUUGAGAGGGACCCUGCUCCAAAGCCUUCCUCCUCCC